Molecule: ribosomal RNA, 484 nt
Filed under: uncultured bacterium
Lineage: Bacteria
Description: partial 16S ribosomal RNA
Rfam family: Bacterial small subunit ribosomal RNA
Source: RNAcentral
AUUGAACGCUGGCGGCAUGCUUUACACAUGCAAGUCGAACGGCAGCGCGUGCUUCGGCCUGGCGGUGAGUGCCGAACGGGCGAGUAAUGCAUCGGAACGUGCCCAGUAGUGGGGGAGAGCCCGGCGACAGCCGGAUUAAUACCGCAUACGACCUGAGGGUGAAACCGGGGGACCGAAAGGCAUCGCGCCAUUGGAGCGCCCCCCGUCGGAUCCGCCAGAUGCCGGGGUAAAGGCCUACCCAGGCGACGCUCCGUAGCUGCUCUGAGAGGACCACCAGCCACACUGCGACUGCGACACGGCCCAGACUCCGACGGGAGGCAGCGGUGCGGACUUUUGGACAAGGGAGGCACCCCUGCUCCAGCCAUGGCGCGUGCGGGAAGAAGGCCUUCGGGUUUUAAACCGCUUUUGUUCGGGAGGAUGUUCUCUGGGCUAAUACGCCGGGGACAUGACGGUAACGGAAGAAUAAGCACCGGCUAACUACGUG